CCCUUUUCUAUCUUGCUAUCUGAUUUGUGUUUAAAUGAGUUUAUGAUAUAAGCAUUACAACUCUCUUAAAAAAGCGCUCCCCCCACCAACCCCCCACUAAUUUAGGUUAAAAACAAAGUAAUGGCAGCAAAAGUGUCUUUAAGUUUUGCAAUAAUCCUUCCAGUACUUCUGCAUCCCAAAAGGCUCCAGAUGUGACCAGCCACUGCAAAAUGAUGAAGAAACUGGAGCAUAAACCAUUUAGAAGACAAACAACUGAAAAUUUCCAGAAGAGCAGAGGAAAUCCCUUCCCUCAGUCAUUUUC
This 301-nucleotide long non-coding RNA is filed under the name Heterocephalus glaber (naked mole-rat). Its description in RNAcentral is "lncRNA (ENSHGLG00000033887.1)". The record is from RNAcentral. Lineage: Eukaryota; Metazoa; Chordata; Mammalia; Rodentia; Bathyergidae.